GCAGCCGCCGCGGUAAAACGGAGGGUGCAAGCGUUAAUCGGAAUUACUGGGCGUAAAGCGCACGCAGGCGGUCUGACAAGUCAGAUGUGAAAUCCCCGGGCUUAACCUGGGAACUGCAUUUGAAACUGUCAGGCUGGAGUCUUGUAGAGGGGGGUGGAAUUCCAGGUGUAGCGGUGAAAUGCGUAGAGAUCUGGAGGAAUACCGGUGGCGAAGGCGGCCCCCUGGACAAAGACUGACGCUCAGGUGCGAAAGCGUGGGGAGCAAACAGGAUUAGAUACCCCGGUAGUCCCUGUCUCUUAUAA
This 302-nucleotide ribosomal RNA is filed under the name uncultured bacterium. Its description in RNAcentral is "partial 16S ribosomal RNA". It matches the Rfam family "Bacterial small subunit ribosomal RNA", at positions 508 to 809 of the family's 1533-position model. The record is from RNAcentral.